CGUACGGUUUAUAUCCAACAUUUGGUCGUUUGUUUUAUUUAAAAAAUUUUAAUGAUUAGUAUUUUUAUUGUUUAGUGAUAAACCAUGAAUAGUACUUUAUAUGUGACUAUUUUUUUAAAAAAAUUCUUCAUAUUUUUUUAAAUAAGAUAGACGGUCAAAUUUCGGAUACAGAAGCCCACAACUGUAUUUAAA
RNAcentral lists this microRNA precursor (192 nucleotides) under Oryza glumipatula. Its description in RNAcentral is "MIR812 microRNA precursor family". It matches the Rfam family "MIR812 microRNA precursor family". Lineage: Eukaryota; Viridiplantae; Streptophyta; Magnoliopsida; Poales; Poaceae. The record is from Rfam by way of RNAcentral.